GGUCCCAUAGCUCAGCUGGUUAGAGCAUCUGACUCAUAAUCAGGGGGUCCAUGGUUCGAGCCCAUGUGGGACCA
This 74-nucleotide transfer RNA is filed under the name Polaribacter sp. RNAcentral's name for it is "tRNA-Ile". It matches the Rfam family "tRNA". From Rfam's summary of the family: Transfer RNA (tRNA) molecules are approximately 80 nucleotides in length. Lineage: Bacteria; Pseudomonadati; Bacteroidota; Flavobacteriia; Flavobacteriales; Flavobacteriaceae. The record is from RNAcentral.